CGCCACUGUCUCACCUGGUGUUUGCAUCUAGCCCUCCAACUUUGCCAUUGGCAGCGGCGGCACGACGUGUGGGAGAGCCCUGAGGCUUGCCCGCCCGGACCAGCCUGCCCCAGCGCUGAGAGGAAAGGGUUAACUUUGCUGAGGAUGCAGAGAGAGGAGGAGAGAAGGAAGGUUAAAUCAGUGAGAACUUGAAUAAGUCACUCCACCACCCCCUGGGAACUCAGGUUACUCUUGUGGUUGGCAUAGCCCAGCAUGCAGUCUUGAGCCUGGCAUAGGCCACACCCACUCCGACUCUGGAUAACCUUCACAGAAGCUCGGAGAAGGCACUAAAUUGAUCUUAAGGUAUCUGAAUAACAUCUGUUCAUCAGGAAACCACCAGAGCUCCAGGGACCCGGGGGAGUCUCACUGUCAGUUCUGGCAGAAACCAGUAUGGCUAUUGCCUUGCAGCCCAGUGAUCUGGUCUUUGAGUUUGCAAGCAACGAGAUGGAUGAUAUCCACCAGCUCGAAGACCCUUCAGUGUUUCCAGCUGUCAUCGUGGAGCAGGUCCCUUAUCCUGAAUUACUGCAUCUCUACUCAGGAAUGGAUUUGGAUGAAGUCCACAAUGGCAUCAUAAGGGACAGGACUUUGUGCAUGGCACAGGAUCAGAUCCUAGAAGGCAGUAUUUUGCUGACAGAUGACAAUGAGUCUACCUCUAAUAACAUGUCAUCCACGGAAGUCCUAUUCAAUGUGGAAACUCCCAACGAUGUCCUGGAUGAGAAGCAGAUCUUCAGCACUCCGGAAAUGCUUCCAGACUCAGACUCUGUUCAGACCAUCAGUCUCCCCAACUUCCUGUUUUCUGCCACUGAACCUGAUGACCAGAACAAGACAAAUGAUACUGGUAACCAGAAGGAGCAUUCUCUGGAGGAGAGGGUCUCCAGAGAGGAAAAUCCUAAGAAGCUUGAGAAGCCAAGAAAGAGAAACCGAAAGACAAAGCACAGCCGAAGUACCUCACCUGUCACUGACCCCAGUGUCCCCAUACGGAAGAAAUCCAAGGAUGGCAAAGGUAGCAACAUUUAUCUGUGGGAGUUCCUGCUGGCCCUUCUGCAAGACAGAAACACCUGCCCCAAGUACAUCAAGUGGACCCAGAGAGAAAAAGGCAUCUUCAAGUUGGUGGACUCCAAGGCUGUGUCCAAGCUGUGGGGCAAGCAGAAAAACAAGCCUGACAUGAACUAUGAGACCAUGGGGCGGGCCCUAAGAUAUUACUACCAGAGAGGAAUCCUGGCUAAAGUGGAAGGGCAGAGAUUGGUAUACCAGUUUAAGGAGAUGCCUAAGGACUUGGUGGUGAUUGAGGAUGAGGAGGAGAGUACUGAAACACCGGAAGCACUUCCGCAGGCCUCCACACCCUCUACCAGUACCAUCCGGAAAGCCAGCUCCAGGGUCGUAACCAAAACUUCCCUCCAGGACAAGGGUACCCCUUCCCUGGAGAAAGCAACGGUUCAACACACAGGUCUCCAGCCAUCUGCAAGUCUCGAGUUAGGACUGUCUGUGGAUGAGGAGGUCCCCACUACCUCCACCAUGCUUGUCACUCCGCUACAGAGCCAGGCCAAGCUCACCAAAACUGUGAGUACUUCUUCAGUGCCCAGUAACAUCCACCUAGGAGUAACCCCGGUGGGGCCGGGCUCCACUGUCACUCUGCAGACCAUCCCUCUGACUACGGUGCUGACCAAUGGGCCUCCUGCCAGUACUACUGCUCCCACUCAACUCGUUCUCCAGAGUGUUCCACAGGUGUCAACAUUCAAGGACACGAUCACUUUGCAGGCUUCCUUCCCCCUCAAAACCAGUUUCCAGGAGAACCAGGUGUCAACCCAAGGGACCCCAUUGAUCCUCAGUGGCCUCUCCCAACUUCUGGCUGGGGCUAACCCUUCGAGCAACCCAGUACCAUCUCAGGUCUUAGGUGCUGGGUCAGCAGGGCCUAGCUCUCAACCCCCUGGGACUGUCAUUGCUGCCUUCAUCAGGACUGCUGGUGGUACAUCAGUGUCUGGGGUAAAGGAGGGGCCCUUUAGGUCUUCGUCAUAUGUGCAGGGUGUGGUUACAGGCCCCCCUGUGGAGGGGCUGUUCUUUCCUGAAGAGACCCUGAGAGAGCUCCUGAGAGAUCAGGCUCAUCUUCAGCCACUUCAGAGUCAGGUGCUUUCAAGGGGUUCCCAUAACCUGAGCCUUGUGGGGAACCAGACUUUAUCUUCCCCCAGCCAUCCCACUGUUGGGCUAACCCCAGUGGCUGAACUUGAGCUCUCAUCAGGCUCAGGGUCCCCAUUUGUAUCUGAGCCUAGUGUGACCACAUCUGGGAGCUUGCCGACCAGCUCCCCAACCCCAGCAGCCCCUUUCUCUCCAUUCAAUCCCACUUCCCUCAAUAAGAUGGAGCCCCAUGACAUAUAAACAAAGGGAACAAAAGUAUGGCUCACUAGGCAAAAUUGUGAAUUAUUUUCAUGUGGACUUAAGUAGUAUACCUGUCCUUACAUUUAGUGGGGUGUGAUACAUUUGAGUCUAAGUCCCCCAGGCCUGUUUGGGAUCACCAUGAUAAAAUUAUGCCCAGCUCAAGCAUUUCUGGCAUUAGACCAUAGCCUCCGAGAGCACGAGGGAGUAGAUAUGCUCUUGGAAGGAUAAUUGGCUAACUUGGUGAUGGAGGGAAACCCACAGUCUGGAAGCAGCUUAUGGCCAGAGUUGGUCAGAGGCUUCACGAGAAGAGUUAAGUCUGGUCAUACUUUGUUAUCCAUAUUCUUUACACAGGGAACUUCCCAUCCCAUAUGUGAAUACCUUCAGAUGUAUUUGUGUGCAUUUGUGGGUCUGUAGCUUCAUUUAUUUUGGGAGGACAGGAUGUGGAUGUCAGGUCUUUUAAGUUGUGUGUGUGUGUGUGUGUAUGUGUGUGUGUGUGUCCCAGCCCAUUCCUAGGUCAGCCACAGACAUGAGGCAGUUUUAAGAGAAAGCACUCUCUCUCUCUCUCUAUCUCUAUCUCUUGCCAGCCACAGUGCCAUUCUGAGACUAGAAGCUACCAGUUGGAUGCCACGCCCCACACCCAAGUCUGGAGAGAUGUCACAAAGCUGGAACAGGUCUAGCGUGUUAAACUAGGUAACCAGUUAACUGACCCUGCUGACAAGAGUUAUGGAAGAG
Meriones unguiculatus (Mongolian gerbil) is the source of this 3144-nucleotide RNA transcript. It is a transcript of the gene named E74 like ETS transcription factor 4, with no coding region annotated. Lineage: Eukaryota; Metazoa; Chordata; Mammalia; Rodentia; Muridae. The record is from RefSeq and is a predicted model, not a curated record. The transcript has 11 exons.